GAUUAGUUUGUUGGUUUUUAUGUUAAAAGCUUACCAAGACAAUUAUUAGUAACCAUUCUUUGUGGAUGUAUGGUCACAUUGGGAUUGAGAAAAGGCCCAAACUCCUACGGGAGGCAGCAGUGGGGAAUAUUGGACAAUGAGCGGAAGCUUGAUCCAGCAAUGUCGCGUGUGUGAUGAAGGGAAACUGUAAAACACUUUUUUUCGAGAAUAAGAAAUUUUGACUAAUAAUCAGAAUUUUUGAAUUUAUUGAAAGAAUAAGUACCGGCUAAUCACGUGCCAGCAGCCGCGGUAAUACGUGGGGUGCAAGCGUUAAUCAAAAUGAAUAGGCGUAAAGUGUGCUAAGAUUGUUUAAAAAAAUUUAUGUAAGAAUUUUAAUUUGGGUUAAAAAAAUUUUAAAUCACUUUUAAACUAGAGUUUAGAUAUAUGAAAAUAGAAUUUUAUGUGUAGCAGUGAAAUGCGUUGAUAUAUAAAGGAAUGCCAAAGGCGAAAGCAUUUUUCUUGGUCUAAACUGACGUUUAUGCACGAAAGCGUGGGUAGCAAACAGGAUUAGAUACCCUGGUAGUCCACGCCCUAAACGAUGUCGAUUAAUCACUACAAGUGGUGUAGCUAACGCGUUAAAUCGACCGCCUGGGAAUUACGAUCGAAAGAUUAAAACUCAAAGGAAUUGACGGGGACCAGCACAAGCGGUGGAUGAUGUGGAUUAAUUCGAUGAUACCCGAAAAACCUUACCUACUCUUGACAUGGUUGGAAUUUUUUUGAAAAAAAAAAGUGCCUGAAAAGGAACCAACACACAGGUGUUGCAUGGCUGUCGUCAGCUCGUGUCGUGAGAUGUUGGGUUAAGUCCCGUAACGAGCGUAACCCUCACUCUUAUUUAAAAUAUUUUAUUUAUAAGAGAACUGCUAACGAUAAGUUUAGAGGAAGGAGAGGAUGACUUUCAGUCCUCAUGGCCCUUAUGAGUAGGGCUUCACACGUCAUACAAUGGUUGGUACAAAAAGUUGCAAUAUUGUGAAAUUGAGCUAAUCUAUAAAACCAAUCUUAGUUCGGAUUGUACUCUGCAACUCGAGAACACACGCGUCCAAUCGCUAGUAAUCG
RNAcentral lists this ribosomal RNA (1092 nucleotides) under Candidatus Nasuia symbiont of Arthaldeus pascuellus. RNAcentral's name for it is "partial 16S ribosomal RNA". It matches the Rfam family "Bacterial small subunit ribosomal RNA", at positions 239 to 1344 of the family's 1533-position model. The record is from RNAcentral. Lineage: Bacteria; Pseudomonadati; Pseudomonadota; Betaproteobacteria.